GACGAAGGAUGCAGGCGUUAUCCGGAUUCAUUGGGUUUAAAGGGAGCGUAGGUGGCCUUAUAAGUCAGUGGUGAAAUCUCGCAGCUUAACUGCGAAAUUGCCAUUGAUACUGUAGGGCUUGAGUACAGUUGCCGUUGGCGGAAUAUGACAUGUAGUGGUGAAAUACAUAGAGAUGUCAUAGAACACCGAUUGCGAAGGCAGCUAACGAAACUGUAACUGACACUGAGGCUCGAAAGUGCGGGGAUCAAACAGG
RNAcentral lists this ribosomal RNA (253 nucleotides) under uncultured bacterium. Its description in RNAcentral is "partial 16S ribosomal RNA". It matches the Rfam family "Bacterial small subunit ribosomal RNA", at positions 524 to 776 of the family's 1533-position model. The record is from RNAcentral.